This is a long non-coding RNA of Hyaena hyaena (striped hyena), 978 nucleotides long. RefSeq lists it as uncharacterized. The record is from RefSeq and is a predicted model, not a curated record. The transcript has 3 exons. Lineage: Eukaryota; Metazoa; Chordata; Mammalia; Carnivora; Hyaenidae.
CAGAUUCCUGGGUCUCGUGCUGACUGCCACAUCUCCAGAGGACACAGGAUAGGAUAAAGCAAGGGACCAAGCAGCUGGACAGAGUGAGAUAUCCUCCAGAUGCAUCUCUGGAAGUACUGCCUGGAGCAGAGAAACACCCUGCUGACAGAAAUGGACAGGCUAGGGUUAAGCCGAAUAGGCUCAUUUCUUCUCCCAAUCCCACGAAUCAGGCCAAGAAAGGAGAGUAGAGACCCGUACUCCCUUCAUUAAGUGUUAUCACUGCACCAAUGGCUUCCUACCAGCUUGGGAUCUCCUAAGAGAAAAGGCCCUUGCACAGUCUUCAGGAAGAGCAUUUCCAAGAACAAUAGCCCCAAGAGGAAUCUCCUCAGGAACAGAGGUCUUGUCUUACAUAGCUUACAGUCACUAGCAGUGCUUUGGGUGAAAAGGGAGCUCAAUAAGCAAUUGUGAAUUUUGUUUUAUUUUACUUUGCUUAGUAUUGCUUAGGGCCAUGAGAUUCAAAUUUAAAUCACUACAGACUUAAUUACAGUGGCAAAGAAUGGAGUCAGAAAACCACUUUAGUUUCCAAUCUCAAAAUAAAUGGCAGUGCAGUAAAGGUACUAAGAGAAAUCCGUUGGUAGGAAAACGGAGUUAGGCAACUCUUUAGCAAAUUUAGUGAUUGAUAUCCAUCUGAAAAUACAAGGCAGCAAUUUCCUUUGGUGGCAUAAUUUGUAGAUAAAAUUCUAAAUGAAAGCUUUGCUGGAACUAUUGGUAAUCAAAACACCUGCACAAUUAAUUUCAAAAUACCAUGUAUUACUUUGAGGGUUAAAUCACAUGUUUCACACACUUGCACACGCACGAGCAUUCACUUUCUCAGAAUAAAUGCCAGUAUACAUAUUUCUACACUUGGUGACUAUUCAUCAAUCUCACAGCUUGAUGUGAGAAGCUUACAAAAAAACAGGACUAAAAUUAAGAAUAAAUAAAUUUGUAAAAUUAUAUGAA